RNAcentral lists this small nucleolar RNA (191 nucleotides) under Cinara cedri. It matches the Rfam family "Small nucleolar RNA U3". Rfam says of the family: Small nucleolar RNAs (snoRNAs) are involved in the processing and modification of rRNA in the nucleolus. There are two main classes of snoRNAs: the box C/D class, and the box H/ACA class. Lineage: Eukaryota; Metazoa; Arthropoda; Insecta; Hemiptera; Aphididae. The record is from RNAcentral.
ACGUCUGUAGUAUGCAUCGUCCCCUCCAGGUGCAAAUCUGGAGUCGUCAUCAGCCACGAUGAUGAAACUUGUCCAUCUGCCUGAGCGUGAGACAGCUGGUGGCUUGUCAAUUUAUUUGACUUUUGCCAUUCAGCGACGAUGAUCGCAACCGGGUCUCGAACCCGGGGGGUAGAUGGACAGUCUGAGUGGUC